Molecule: ribosomal RNA, 782 nt
Filed under: uncultured bacterium
Lineage: Bacteria
Description: bacterial SSU rRNA
Rfam family: Bacterial small subunit ribosomal RNA
Source: RNAcentral
AGAGUUUGAUCCUGGCUCAGGAUGAACGCUGGCGGCGUGCCUAACACAUGCAAGUCGAGCGAUCUCUUCGGAGAGAGCGGCGGACGGGUGAGUAACGCGUGGGUAACCUGCCCUGUACACACGGAUAACAUACCGAAAGGUAUACUAAUACGGGAUAAUAUACGAAAGUCGCAUGGCUUUUGUAUCAAAGCUCCGGCGGUACAGGAUGGACCCGCGUCUGAUUAGCUAGUUGGUAAGGUAAUGGCUUACCAAGGCAACGAUCAGUAGCCGACCUGAGAGGGUGAUCGGCCACACUGGAACUGAGACACGGUCCAGACUCCUACGGGAGGCAGCAGUGGGGAAUAUUGCACAAUGGGCGAAAGCCUGAUGCAGCAACGCCGCGUGAGCGAUGAAGGCCUUCGGGUCGUAAAGCUCUGUCCUCAAGGAAGAUAAUGACGGUACUUGAGGAGGAAGCCCCGGCUAACUACGUGCCAGCAGCCGCGGUAAUACGUAGGGGGCUAGCGUUAUCCGGAAUUACUGGGCGUAAAGGGUGCGUAGGUGGUUUUUUAAGUCAGAAGUGAAAGGCUACGGCUCAACCGUAGUAAGCUUUUGAAACUAGAGAACUUGAGUGCAGGAGAGGAGAGUAGAAUUCCUAGUGUAGCGGUGAAAUGCGUAGAUAUUAGGAGGAAUACCAGUAGCGAAGGCGGCUCUCUGGACUGUAACUGACACUGAGGCACGAAAGCGUGGGGAGCAAACAGGAUAGAUACCCUGGUAGUCCACGCCGUAAACGAUGAGUACUAGGU